This 695-nucleotide ribosomal RNA is filed under the name uncultured Bacteroidales bacterium. RNAcentral's name for it is "bacterial SSU rRNA". It matches the Rfam family "Bacterial small subunit ribosomal RNA", at positions 32 to 715 of the family's 1533-position model. Lineage: Bacteria; Pseudomonadati; Bacteroidota; Bacteroidia; Bacteroidales. The record is from RNAcentral.
AACGCUAGCUACAGGCUUAACACAUGCAAGUAGAGGGGCAGCAUGAAUAAAGUUUCGGCUUUAUUUGAUGGCGACCUGCGAAUGGGUGAGUAACACGUAUCCAACCUGCCUGUUACUGGAGGAUAGCCUCCCGAAAGGGAAAUUAACACUCCAUAUUAUAUAGAUGAGGCAUCUUGUUUAUAUGAAAGUUUCACGGUAACGGAUGGGGAUGCGUCCCAUUAGAUAGUAGGCGGGGUAACGGCCCACCUAGUCGACGAUGGGUAGGGGUUCUGAGAGGAAGGUCCCCCACAUUGGAACUGAGACACGGUUCAAACUCCUACGGGAGGCAGCAGUGAGGAAUAUUGGUCAAUGGGCGAGAGCCUGAACCAGCCAAGUAGCGUGCAGGAUGACGGCCCUAUGGGUUGUAAACUGCUUUUAUACGGGGGUAAAGUCAUCCACGUGUGGAUGUUUGCAAGUACCGUAAGAAAAAGGAUCGGCUAAUUCCGUGCCAGCAGCCGCGGUAAUACGGAAGAUCCGAGCGUUAUCCGGAUUUAUUGGGUUUAAAGGGAGCGUAGGCGGACGAGCAAGUCAGUUGUGAAAGUUUGCGGCUCAACCGUAAAAUUGCAGUUGAAACUGUUUGUCUUGAGUUCACAUAAGGAUGGUGGAAUUUGUGGUGUAGCGGUGAAAUGCAUAGAUAUCACGAAGAACUCCGAUUG